UGUAUCUGAAGUCUGACGAGGAUGAGAACCUCCGGGGGCAAGAGGUUCGACCCGAGCGAAGCGAGAGAACGUUGCGUCAGCAACGGCCCGCAGGGCGAGCCAUCCUCUAUCACCGGCA
This 118-nucleotide small RNA is filed under the name Salmonella enterica subsp. enterica. Its description in RNAcentral is "RtT RNA". It matches the Rfam family "RtT RNA". Rfam says of the family: This family represents a bacterial cis-regulatory element known as RtT RNA. The exact function of RtT is unknown although it is thought that it may be involved in changing the cellular response in relation to amino acid starvation. RNAcentral also lists the same sequence under 1 other name. Lineage: Bacteria; Pseudomonadati; Pseudomonadota; Gammaproteobacteria; Enterobacterales; Enterobacteriaceae. The record is from RNAcentral.